RNAcentral lists this ribosomal RNA (506 nucleotides) under uncultured bacterium. RNAcentral's name for it is "partial 16S ribosomal RNA". It matches the Rfam family "Bacterial small subunit ribosomal RNA", at positions 29 to 523 of the family's 1533-position model. The record is from RNAcentral.
AGUGAACGCUGGCGGUAGGCCUAACACAUGCAAGUCGAACGGCAGCACAGGAGAGCUUGCUCUCUGGGUGGCGAGUGGCGGAGGGGUGAGGAAUACAGCAGAAUCUACUCAGUCGUGAGGGAUAACGUAGGGAAACUUACGCUAAUACCGCAUAUGCACUACGGGUGAAAGCAGGGGACCUUCGGGCCUUGCUCAGUUGAAUGAGCCGCUAUCGGAUUAGCUAGUUGGCGGGGUAAAGGCCCACCAUGGCGAGGAUCCGUAGCGGGUAUGAGAGGAUGAUCAGCCAAACUGGAACCGGGACACGGUCCAGACUCCUACGGGAGGCAGCAGUGGGGAAUAUUGGACAAGGGGCGCAAGCCUGAUCCAGUCAUACCGCGUGGGUGAAGAAGGCCUUCGGGUUGUAAAGCCCUUUUGUUGGGAAAGAAAUCCAGCUGGCGAAUACGCGGUUGGAAUGAGGGUACCCAAAGAAUAAGCACCGGCUAACUUCGUGCCAGCCGCCGCCGUAA